RNAcentral lists this long non-coding RNA (607 nucleotides) under Felis catus (domestic cat). RNAcentral's name for it is "lncRNA (ENSFCAG00000047784.1)". Lineage: Eukaryota; Metazoa; Chordata; Mammalia; Carnivora; Felidae. The record is from RNAcentral.
CAGGAUUAAAAACUUCCCCAAAAGGCUGCAUUCUUGAACCUGCUGCCUCAGAGGUUUGAAGACAAAGUAGCAAAACGAGCCUCAUCCGGGAAAAGUUCAAGCUAAUACAUCUUGGCAAACAUAACGAAAAACACAGACAGUUGCUUUAAGAGAGGAACCCAGAAAGAGGUCAAGUUCUGCUGAGAGAGGCAGAGCGGCAAUUAGAUGGGGGCUUAUGUUGCAGCGUGGCGGCAAAGGGGUCAGAGAGAGGAAAAACAUUUCUCCACUGUGUUCAUCGCCUAGCCGGUCACUGAAGCAAUUACUGGGUCUUUUUUGAAAAGAACCUUUGGAGCCACGAUGUGAGAAGUCUGGUUACCCCCGUGCGUGAGCCACAGUGCUGGGAAGACCUGAGAGAGAGACAGAGAGAGGAAGGAAGGGAGGAGGAGAGGGAGACGUCUGAGGAGGUCCAGCUGUUCCAGUCCCCACCUGUUGGAUUCUUCCCAGGCUGAGCUCUAGACAUGUGAGGAAGGAGCCUUUAGAUUAUUUCCUCCCUAAUCACAGGCUGAUGGCAACUAUUUGAGAUUUCCUGAGCAGGAACCACCCAACUAAGCCCAAUCAAUCCUCAGAA